UUUCCGUAGGUGAACCUGCGGAAGGAUCAUUCAUAAUAAGUGUUUUAUGGCACUUUUUAAAUCCAUAUCCACCUUGUGUGCAAUGUCGGUCGGUCUUCUUUAUGGAGAUUGAUCAAACAUCAACCUAAUUUUUAACUCUUUGUCUGAAAAAUAUUAUGAAUAAAUAAUUCAAAUACAACUUUCAACAACGGAUCUCUUGGCUCUC
RNAcentral lists this unclassified non-coding RNA (205 nucleotides) under soil metagenome. RNAcentral's name for it is "partial contains small subunit ribosomal RNA, internal transcribed spacer 1, and 5.8S ribosomal RNA". The record is from RNAcentral.